GGAGGAGGAGAAGCAUGUUUAUGGUGGGAAUGAUCGGCUCUUGGAAACUUGGUGUUGUUGUUGGAGCAAAAAUGAUGGUGCGGAUGUGGCUGGGUGGUGUGGAGAGGAGAUUUGUCUGCUUCCAGCGAACAGCGAAAUGCUAAUACAAAAAUGUCCGGUAGGAGUGGGAGGUAGGGUUUAGAAGUGAAGGGUUGAUUGCGGCGGUGGCAAAGGCGAGAGAGAAAAUGGGAGGAGGAAGAGGUUCGCAUUUCACUUGUCAAAUCUCAAAACAGCUAAAAUCUUUGGAAUCAGAUCAAAAGUGGAGACUGGAGAG
This 313-nucleotide long non-coding RNA is filed under the name Coffea arabica (coffee). RNAcentral's name for it is "long non-coding RNA (CARA_LNC004663)". The record is from RNAcentral. Lineage: Eukaryota; Viridiplantae; Streptophyta; Magnoliopsida; Gentianales; Rubiaceae.